This 270-nucleotide ribosomal RNA is filed under the name uncultured bacterium. RNAcentral's name for it is "partial 16S ribosomal RNA". It matches the Rfam family "Bacterial small subunit ribosomal RNA", at positions 524 to 776 of the family's 1533-position model. The record is from RNAcentral.
UACGGAGGGUGCGAGCGUUGUCCGGAAUCAUUGGGCGUAAAGGGCGCGUAGGUGGCCCGGUCAGUCCGUGGUGAAAGCGCGGGGCUCAACCCUGCGUCGGCCAUGGAUACUGCCGCGGCUCGAGCACUGUAGAGGCAGGCGGAAUUCCGGGUGUAGCGGUGGAAUGCGUAGAGAUCCGGAAGAACACCGGUGGCGAAGGCGGCCUGCUGGGCAGUGGGGGCAACCCCUGAAAGCUGACACUGAGGCGCGACAGCGUGGGGAGCAAACAGG